AUGAGGCAUUCUGCCAGAUGGUCUGGACUGUCUGCUCAGGGAACCACUCCACUGUGUCCAUCCAGUCCUUCUCCUGCAGUAACUGCAGGACAUUCCGUGCUGACCACUGUCUGGUGUUCUUGUGGUCAAAGCUGCUGGUCUGAAAGAACUGUCACCAAUUUCAUUAACACAAGGUUCACAUGGAGAAGCUUCCCGACUGAGACAGACACAGUCUCAUGGGGUAUUUACAGGGUAGGGGCAGGAAUGAUGUUUUUCCUGGCUGGGCAGUGGAACCAGGGAUCGCAGACUCAAAAUCCGAGGCCACCUCAGCAGGACUGAGAUGAGGAGAAAUUUCCCCAACACAGUGCAGUGAAUAUUUGGAGUUUUCUCCACAAGUUUCCUAAAGUAAACGGACAUAUUUAGGAGCUCGGCGAUGUUGGGAACGUUUCAGGAAAGUGGCGCUGAGGUCAAAGUUCAACAUGUUCUGAGUGAGGGGCAGAACAGUGCAACGGGCCGAGUGGCAACGCCUGCUCCUGUUUCUUAUUUUCUAAAUCACGAAUUUACCUUUGCGCCUUGUUCUCCCUUGGCCUUCCGCCUGUCGGAUUGCACAGGGGAGCGGUGAGAGCUCCGGAGAUCCAUCAGCAGCCGCUGCGGUUAUUUCAUGCUCUCGUUAUUUUAUCGGUGUUUCUCUGUUUUUGCACAGUUUGUUACCUUCAGCACUCUGGCUGAUCUUUCACUGCCUGCUUCUGUUAUGGUUACUAUUCUAUACUUUUUCUAAGUACGUCCGCAGGAAAAUGCUUCUCGGGGUUGAAUGUGGUGAUUUAUCUGUACUCUGAUAAUAAAAUUUACUUUGAAAUUUGAGUUUCGGGGAUUUUCCUUUAAUUCUGGGGACAAACUGUGACUGACAUCUCCAGCUCCCAGCAGCAGCCCGUUCUCACACAUACACAGCCAAUCAGCGAUCACCGCUGGUAGAGGGAUGCUCUCAUUGGCUGAGGGGUGUCAGUGGGCGGGACGCUGUUUGGACCGGGACCGAGUGGGCCGGAGACCGGGAGCUGCGCCUCGGGUUUCGGCUGCACCACCGGCGGGUCGUGAAUCCUUUCGAAGGCAGAGCUGAAGCGACCGGCGGAGAUUCCGUGAGAUGUUUCAGCUGCACGGAGGGCGCACGGCCUCUCCCCGUCGAGGAUCGGGGCCUGUUGUCUGGAGUUGUCUCCCAGACCUGUCCCGUCCUGCUGGGAGACGGGAGCUGCCCCGCAGCGGCUGCCGGUGGAUCUCCGGAGCUCUCACCGCUCCCCUGUGCAAUCCGAACGGCUGAAAACCAAGGGAGAACAAGGGGCAAAGGGGCAAGACCAGAACAUGUGGGUCAAUAAAGCGACUUCAGAAUGACAUCUGUGACAGGCUGGAUUAACAUAAGAAUAAAAUCGAGCGAGUUUAUCCUUGGACAUGUGAGCCCUAUGAACAACCUGAAAUUGUAUUAGGCAUGUUUAGCACAAAUAAAAGAAGAAUUGAUUAAUUGUAAAA
Long non-coding RNA from Hypanus sabinus (Atlantic stingray), 1497 nucleotides. RefSeq lists it as uncharacterized. The transcript is spliced from 2 exons. The record is from RefSeq and is a predicted model, not a curated record. NCBI's taxonomy places the organism in Eukaryota, Metazoa, Chordata, Chondrichthyes, Myliobatiformes, Dasyatidae.